Molecule: unclassified non-coding RNA, 182 nt
Filed under: uncultured Annulatascus
Lineage: Eukaryota; Fungi; Ascomycota; Sordariomycetes; Annulatascales; Annulatascaceae
Description: sequence contains ITS1
Source: RNAcentral
CAAGAGUUGUAAAAUACUCCCAAACCCUCUGUGAACCUCAUACCUUUUCGUUCGUUGCUUCGGCAGGCGGCCCCCGGGGAGGGGGCCACAGCCCCUUGGGUGGGGUGCCUGCCGGCGACCCACAAACCAAACCCUAGUGUUGUAUCGUGUUACCUCUGAGUUCAAACCAAAAAAUCAAACCA